Molecule: ribosomal RNA, 694 nt
Filed under: Plasmopara viticola
Lineage: Eukaryota; Oomycota; Peronosporomycetes; Peronosporales; Peronosporaceae
Description: eukaryotic LSU rRNA
Rfam family: Eukaryotic large subunit ribosomal RNA
Source: RNAcentral
GCUCAAGCUUAAAAUCUCCGUGCAAUUUUUGCGCGGUUAAUUGUAGUCUAUAGAACCGUGGUCAGUAUGGGCACUUGGGUUAAGUUCCUUGGAACAGGACAGCAGGGAAGGUGAUACUCCCGUUCCUCCCCAAGUUGCUUGUGCGUACGACCCGUUUUCUUUGAGUCGCGUUGUUUGACAAUGCUACGCGAAGUAGGUGGUAAAUUCCAUCUAAAGCUAAGUAUUGAUGCCAAACCGAUACCAUACAAGUGCCGUGAGGAAAAAAUGAAAAUAGCUUUGAAAAUAAAAUUAAAGAUGACCUUGAUCUGCUGAAAGGUAACGAAAUCAUUUCUGCUGUCUAUGAUCCGUGGGACUUUUCACUGGCCAGUGUAUGCCUGCGUGUGCUGUUGCAGUGUUCUUUUUGGCGGCGCUCGGCGUGUGUGUUGUGUGUGCUUGCAGGUGCCCUGUGCUGUGGGUGGGACGUAAGGUCAGGCUCGUAUGCUGCGGGAAAUGGCCACUGAGGACGUAGGGCUUACUCUUGCGUUUGUCUGCUAUAUACUAGUGGAAGAGUAGUCGCGGUUGGGACUGAGGUGCCAACAACGUGCUUUUGAGUGGAUUUGGGUCUCCGUGUGCGCCGUGUGCGGAUAGCUUGCUAUGCGUGUGUGGCUGUGUAUGGAUUGAUGCGAGUCGUAACUUGUAGCCGUUCGGGACGUUG